UUACCUCACGACCAUGCAUAGCUGCGCUACGUAAACAAUUUUACGAAGUUGUUGAUGUAGCGUGAUCGUGAUGUCCGACUCCGAGUGCUGCGAGUUUCAAUACUGUUUAUGUAGUCAUUGAGAGUUUAAACAAAGUUUCUUCUGAGAAGAGGGAUUCGAUGGAUGCAUUCAACGUGGACAACGAGAAUAUAAUUUCGUUUGUGUCAUCCUAAGGACCAGUGCAAGUUGAAAUGGGCUUCGAGUCAACAACUUCAACAGCAAUUUGCCUUGAAAAUCAGCAAGAAAGGUACUUCAUUUACAUUGACGAUGUCAUAUCCCCUGGACCCCACAACUUUACAGGUUACAGAGAAAAUUCAAGAAUUUCUGCACAAUGUGGGACUUGGAUAGAAUCAAUAAUGUAUUUGUGAGCCCAGAUAUAUUGUGCAACAUACUAAAGUGUGAAUUUAAUUGAAAACAAGUACAUGUAC
Long non-coding RNA from Ostrea edulis (European flat oyster), 467 nucleotides. RefSeq lists it as uncharacterized. The transcript is spliced from 3 exons. NCBI's taxonomy places the organism in Eukaryota, Metazoa, Mollusca, Bivalvia, Ostreida, Ostreidae. The record is from RefSeq and is a predicted model, not a curated record.